This 30-nucleotide non-coding RNA is filed under the name Rattus norvegicus (Norway rat). The record is from RNAcentral. Lineage: Eukaryota; Metazoa; Chordata; Mammalia; Rodentia; Muridae.
UAAAACACUUCAAGACGUCAAUAUACAGAA